Megalopta genalis is the source of this 720-nucleotide long non-coding RNA. RefSeq lists it as uncharacterized. Lineage: Eukaryota; Metazoa; Arthropoda; Insecta; Hymenoptera; Halictidae. The record is from RefSeq and is a predicted model, not a curated record.
AUAGUAUGAUCUAUGUAACGGCCUUGGUCGAUACAUUUGGGACUUCGGGCCCAAAAUUUCAGACAUGUCAAUUACGCUCAGUAACCAGAUUUCUUAUUUUCGCUGUUUCGUCAUUAAUUCACGUUUUAUAUAUCUAACAUCAGACUAGUGUUAUCUUUAGAUCAAAACAAUGAAAAUCUUAAAUUAUUAACCUUAUUUAUCGAAUGAUUGACGCAAAAUAUUUCGGUAUUACCUUUGCCAAAUGUUUCAGAACGAACUUGUUUAAUUAUUUGAACCCUACUGUAACUCAGAGCAGUAAAACAAAGUGACCUCACUGCUAAAGCGUGACAUAAACGAGGAUACACUGUGAUACCCGUUCAUCGAGUAUCUGCAACACCGCAACCUAAACAAGCGAAGAGCAACGUUGCCACUUUUAUUCGUGACCGUUAGCGUUAGCAUACACGAGUCAUUCGGGUAGGGUCAAAUUUUGAUUUGGACUGGUCAAAUUUUGGAAUUCAACCACUUCCGAGACAGACAUCGUACGUUAAGUUAUCGAUUAUUAAUAUUAUUUCAGGAAAAGUGGUAAGAAUUAUCGACUUAUAUUGAUAGUGUGGUUCGCACUUCAGAAAUUUCAUUAACGCAUGCGCCGUGAUGCAAAAUACCUUCAGAACUUGUAAUAUUAGCUGUAAUAUGCAAAAUACUCCUGUGUAGAGUCAAAAAUACACUAUUUUAGUAAAUAUA